AAGUCUUACUGGAGGAUGUGACAUAAAGGAUGCAGUCUGGCGGCUAAUGAGGAAAACAAUUUCCAAUAGCCUUGCUAGAAACAUGAAUUGGAAGGGGUUGAAUGGGAAGACAUCACUUGCAGCACUGCGAUUGAAGGAUGUGAUGAUUGGUAAAUCUACAGUUCGAAAAAAUCCACUGAUGUCCAAAGCAACAUGAUGAUGUGGAAUCUGUCAUGAAAAGAUGGCUGCAGCUUGCUUUAGAUCGUGAGGGCGGCAGAAAACGGCGGCAAAAAACACUCAUAAAAUGUCUCUCUUGUUCAAUCAACCACCCACCAAUAGGAGAGUGCCAAAUAUAAAUUAACAAUACAAAAUUAACAAACCAUGACAGACACAACACUGAAGAGGUGACAAAGACACAGUUUGAAUAGAAUGGGGAAAAAGAGUAAGGUAUGAAAGUUGCCAGUAGAGGGCAGAGUGACGCUUUGCUUUUUAUUGUGAGCGGACGUCGUUUCCUCAAUGCUGAGCGAAGCUGUUCAAGUAAAGAAAAAUGUUGUUUCUCCUGUUCUUUCUCCUGUUUUACAGACAGGUUUGUGGGGGCUCGUCCGGGAUCAGCAACACCUGUGAUUGGAGAACAUCGGUGUAUGACAUAUCAUCAGAGCUAGGGACUUCGAGCUUCUGAAAAAUGUCUACGAUGGCAGACAGCGAGAGGAAGAAGCUGAUUUGGACUGUGAAGAAAAGACUUUUCCAUCUUUUUGAGUUGUUCCAGCUUGCGACGGAGAUUCCACAGACACCUGACCAAGACCCAGCUAAGUUGAACAAACAUGAUGACGAAGGCUGUAUUAAUUGUGUGGACAGCACAAAUUUGCUAGAGUUAGAGGAUGAGGGCGUGUAACAGUUACUUAUGUUAGAAGACGUGAUUUCUGAGAUUAUCCACAGUCGUAAUAGAGAGUGACGUAGAUCUACAUGAGGUCAUCAUUCAUCCUGGCCAGGUGACCCGCAUCAGAUGUAAGGUGCCUGUUGAUUUCACCCAGCCUGUGGCUUUGUUUGAGUCUAACCACUCUGACCUGAGGCUGCAGCAGUUAGAUCUUAGUGAUUAUCUGGUAGAAGUGCACCACUGCAGACAACCUUAUGUUGAAAUCCCAGUAUGUAACUACACACAGUAGA
This is a long non-coding RNA of Brienomyrus brachyistius, 1143 nucleotides long. RefSeq lists it as uncharacterized. The transcript has 5 exons. The record is from RefSeq and is a predicted model, not a curated record. NCBI's taxonomy places the organism in Eukaryota, Metazoa, Chordata, Actinopteri, Osteoglossiformes, Mormyridae.